UGCGUAGGUGGUCGUUUAAGUCUGUUGUGAAAGCCCUGGGCUCAACCUGGGAACUGCAGUGGAAACUGGACGACUAGAAUGUGGUAGAGGGUAGCGGAAUUCCUGGUGUACCAGUGAAAUGCGUAGAGAUCAGGAGGAACAUCCAUGGCGAAGGCAGCUACCUGGACCAACAUUGACGCUGAGGCGCGAAAGCGUGGGGAGCAAACA
RNAcentral lists this ribosomal RNA (207 nucleotides) under uncultured bacterium. Its description in RNAcentral is "partial 16S ribosomal RNA". It matches the Rfam family "Bacterial small subunit ribosomal RNA", at positions 568 to 774 of the family's 1533-position model. The record is from RNAcentral.